ACCCGCUGGAAUUAAGCAUAUCAAUAAGCGGAGGAGAAGAAACUAACCAGGAUUCCCUCAGUAACGGCGAGUGAAGAGGGAUGAGCCCAGCACCGAAGCCUGCGGCAGGUUUGCUGUUAGGCAAUGUGGUGUGCGGGUCGGCUGGCGGGACCGCCGCUCCACUCGAAGUCCAGCAUUGAGUAUGGUGAUGAUGGAGGUAGAUGAUGGCCCACAGAGGGUGAGAGGCCCGUAGGAGUGGAGUGGUCCAGGCGUGUGAGGCGGUUCACCAGGUCGGCCUAAGAGUCGGGUUGUUUGAGAUUGCAGCCCAAAGUGGGUGGUAAACUCCAUCCAAGGCUAAAUACAAGCACGAGUCCGAUAGCGUACUCGG
Molecule: ribosomal RNA, 367 nt
Filed under: Hydatigera taeniaeformis
Lineage: Eukaryota; Metazoa; Platyhelminthes; Cestoda; Cyclophyllidea; Taeniidae
Description: eukaryotic LSU rRNA
Rfam family: Eukaryotic large subunit ribosomal RNA
Source: RNAcentral